This 74-nucleotide transfer RNA is filed under the name Dietzia cercidiphylli. Its description in RNAcentral is "tRNA-Met". It matches the Rfam family "tRNA". From Rfam's summary of the family: Transfer RNA (tRNA) molecules are approximately 80 nucleotides in length. RNAcentral also lists the same sequence under 1 other name. The record is from RNAcentral. Lineage: Bacteria; Bacillati; Actinomycetota; Actinomycetes; Mycobacteriales; Dietziaceae.
CGCGGGGUGGAGCAGUUCGGUAGCUCGCUGGGCUCAUAAUCCAGAGGUCGCAGGUUCGAAUCCUGUCCCCGCUA